UCGCUGCCGGCCGUCGGCCGGGGGAGGAAAGUCCGGGCAACGCAGAGCACCACGCAAGCUAACGACUUGAUGGCCGUGAGGUCAUGGAAGCGUAACAGAAAACAACCGCCGGCAAAGGCGUCCGGGUUCGGCCCCGUCCCGCAGAGGAGGAGGUUGCACAAUCCGGAAUUUCCGACCGGUAAGGGUGAAAAGGCGGGGUAAGAGCCCACCGCGGAGGCAGUGAUGUCAUCCGGCCGUACGUCCCGUGGGUUGCAAGACCAUGUAUACCGGCAAUCAAGGGUUGCUCGCCCGAUGCCGGGGGGUAGGUUGCUGGAGGCGGCAGGUGACUGCCGUCGUAGAUAAAUGACAGAGACCCGGGGUUCGCUCCGGGGACAGAACCCGGCUUACAGGGC
This 392-nucleotide RNase P RNA is filed under the name uncultured Alistipes sp. RNAcentral describes it as "Bacterial RNase P class A". It matches the Rfam family "Bacterial RNase P class A". From Rfam's summary of the family: Ribonuclease P (RNase P) is a ubiquitous endoribonuclease, found in archaea, bacteria and eukarya as well as chloroplasts and mitochondria. Its best characterised activity is the generation of mature 5'-ends of tRNAs by cleaving the 5'-leader elements of precursor-tRNAs. Lineage: Bacteria; Pseudomonadati; Bacteroidota; Bacteroidia; Bacteroidales; Rikenellaceae. The record is from RNAcentral.